RNAcentral lists this long non-coding RNA (909 nucleotides) under Malus domestica (apple). RNAcentral describes it as "long non-coding RNA (MDOM_LNC010418)". The record is from RNAcentral. Lineage: Eukaryota; Viridiplantae; Streptophyta; Magnoliopsida; Rosales; Rosaceae.
AGAAGAAUAUGUUAGAAAAGGUCUAUCAUAAAGAGGACAACACUUUUAAUGUCAUAAUUCUUCAAUUACAAAAUGUUGUAUAAAGAAAUAAGAGUUGUUUUGAACAACCCUUAAUCAAUGCAAACAUUAGUGCUUGUUUCUUUGUAACAUGAACAAGGAACUUUAGAAGAAAGCACAAAGGCAUGAACACUUAAUGUGCCAUGAUUCUUCACUUACAAAUUGUUGUAUGAAGAAAUGAGAGUUGCCUUGUGCAACUCUUGAAAGUUUGUAAUUAUGUUUAGAACAUAAUGGUUGGUUGACAAAAAUAGUCCAUCAACAUGGACUUAUGAUGAUUUUGAAUUAUUGAGUGUUGAAGUGAUAAACCACUUAACGAGACGAAAACUAGGCAAGGACUUCACCUUUGUUUCCCUAUCCUUAUAGUUCACUAAGUUUAUUGUAAACUAUGUAGUGAACAAUAAACCACAUGCUCUCCAAAAUGUUUGAUGUGUAUAACACAAUUGAAAUAAGUUUCAAGAGAGAUGGUGGGAGUUUAGGGACCAUGACUAUUGUAGUCAAAGGUGAAAGUCAAAUGAAGAAGAUAAAAUAACUCCAAGAGAACAAACUUUCUUUAUGAAAGGAUGGACAUUGGAAGGGGUAUUUGCAAGAAAUGUCUUGCAAGUGUCAAAAACACACCUUUCAAAGGUGUUGUAAAUUGUUCUUGAAUAGUUCAAAACAGUUGGUUCUUCUACUUGAAUGCUUGAUUCCGUAUUAGUAACUAUGUUUUACAAUCGUUGUAAAAGUGUGACUAAUAAGAAGUAGAAGAUAUAUGAGAGAAGAAAAGGUACUUCACAUUCGGAACGUGAAUAAAAUAUAGAUCUCUGCGAAGGCAGAUAGUACUUACUUCCUCAUAUGAACUACCAAAGAAAUUGG